This 1309-nucleotide long non-coding RNA is filed under the name Monodelphis domestica (gray short-tailed opossum). Its description in RNAcentral is "lncRNA (ENSMODG00000040973.1)". The record is from RNAcentral. Lineage: Eukaryota; Metazoa; Chordata; Mammalia; Didelphimorphia; Didelphidae.
GUAAAUUUUGAGUAGAAUUAUACUUAUCAAGUUAUUAGUUAUAAUUGUCUACAUACUUGCCCAAUUCUUUUGUUUAACAUGAUCAUAAGAUCAUAGAUUUAGAGAUGGAAAGGUAUUUAGUGGUAUCUAGUUCAACCCUUCCCCCUAAUUUAUCUAUGAGGAAACUGAGACUCAGACAAUAACAUGCGUUUUCUCUGGUCACCUAGGUAGUAAGAAGUGAAAGAUCCAGAAUUUGGACUUUAAUCCUGUGCCUCUAGCUCUCUUCCAACCACACUGCCUUCAUCCACUGGCUAUGGUAGAGGGCCACCAUACUCCACCCAGAGCUUCUAGAGUCAUUGUUGUUAUGAUUAACUACAAGAUAAGGCUGGCUAAAGAAAUUGGCUUUUGACUGCUUAUCGUGGGAUAAAGAACACCUACGAGGACUCAAGCCAAUGACAAUGAAAAGAAUCAACCUCUACCUCACUCCAUGGUAUCCAUAGAAGUCUGAGGAGAAGACGGCCUGGCUCUGGGACCUGAGAAUCAUCCAAAAGAGGAGGAGUUGGACUGGGCAUCCUUAGAGUCUAUGCAGGCUGCAUUGGGAUAACCGUUUUGAAGCAGAGAUUCAGGCCAGGAAGGAAGAGAACCUACAGGGAGUAUAUUUGUUUAGUUCAAGCCGACUUCCUGAGGACCUGGUCCUUUUAUAGCAGCUGCUGAUAUUUUCCUAGGCGAGCUAGCUGGGAUGGUGGAUAAAGUGCUUCCUGACUUGGAGUUAGGGAGACCUGAGUUUGAAUAGUGUUUAAUUAUUUACUGGUUGUGUGACUUUUGGCAAGUUACUUAGGUCCCCUCUAUCUCAGUUUCCUCAUAUGUAAAAUUAAGGAGUUUACUUGGUUGACCUUUAAGAUCCCUUCUAGUUCUAAAUCUAUGAUCCCACAAUUUAUCCUCUCCAUACCAAUGAGGGCUGCUAUGGUGGAGGAUGGGGAAAAAUAGGGUAAAAGGUGAAAAGUUACAAGAUUCCAGAAGGGAACUCAGAGGCUAAUCCAGACUCCUUGUUUUACAGUUGGAGAAACUGAGACCUAGGGAGGGUAAGCAAGUUUCCCGGGAUCAUGCCGAUAAUGUGAAUAUUUGAUCCUAAGGAUAAAGUACCUGGACAACUUUCUUUUGUUAAUGGAUUAAUUGAUUUGAAAUCUGACCACCCAAAUCUCCUGCUCCUCAAUCUUGGGUUCAGUUCAGUCUUCAUCCUGCCCAAGAUGUGCCCAAGAUCAUGGCCUUUUAACCUGGGAUCUGUGAACUUGUUUUAAAAAAUAUUUUGUCAAUUGUGUUUUGUAAUCAC